AAGCGGAGGAAAAGAAACCAACAGGGAUUGCCUCAGUAACGGCGAGUGAAGCGGCAACAGCUCAAAUUUGAAAUCUGGCGUCUUCGGCGCCCGAGUUGUAAUUUGCAGAGGAUGCUUCGGCGUAGGCGCCGCCCAAAGUUCCUUGGAACGGGACGUCGCAGAGGGUGAGAGCCCCGUGUUCGGGCGGAUGCCGUCGCCAUGUGAAGCUCCUUCGACGAGUCGAGUUGUUUGGGAAUGCAGCUCAAAACGGGAGGUAAAUUUCUUCCAAAGCUAAAUACCGGCCGGAGACCGAUAGUGCACAAGUAGAGUGAUCGAAAGAUGAAAAGCACUUUGGAAAGAGAGUCAAACAGCGCGUGAAAUUGUUAAAAGGGAAGCGCUUGCGGUCAGAACUUGGCCGCCGUUGCUCGGGGAGGUCUCGCGCCUCCCUCGCUCUUCGGCGGCUGGGCCAGCAUCGGUUCGGGCGGCUCGAGAAAGGUCGUGGGAACGUAGCUCCCUCCGGGGAGUGUUAUAGCCCGCGGCGCAAUAGGGCCCGCCUGGACCGAGGUCUGCGCAUCUGCUCGGAUGCUGGCGUAAUGGCCCCAAGCGGCCCGUCUUGAAACACGGACCAAGGAGUCUAACAUUCGUGCGAGUGUUCGGGCGUUAAACCCGUGCGCGCAAUGAAAGUGAACGUAGGUGGGAGCCCCUUGUGGGUGCACCAUCGACCGAUCCAAAUGUUUUCGGAUGGAUUUGAGUAUGAGCACGUAUGUUGGGACCCGAAAGAUGGUGAACUAUGCCUAAACAGGGCGAAGCCAGAGGAAACUCUGGUGGAGGCUCGCAGCGGUUCUGACGUGCAAAUCGAUCGUCAAAUUCGGGCAUAGGGGCGAAAGACUAAUCGA
RNAcentral lists this ribosomal RNA (875 nucleotides) under Muyocopron dipterocarpi. RNAcentral's name for it is "partial large subunit ribosomal RNA". It matches the Rfam family "Eukaryotic large subunit ribosomal RNA", at positions 48 to 938 of the family's 3401-position model. The record is from RNAcentral. Lineage: Eukaryota; Fungi; Ascomycota; Dothideomycetes; Muyocopronales; Muyocopronaceae.